AGAGUUUGAUCAUGGCUCAGAGCGAACGCUGGCGGCAGGCCUAACACAUGCAAGUCGAGCGGCCGUAGCAAUACGGCAGCGGCAGACGGGAGAGUAACACGUGGGAACGUGCCCAUCAGUUCGGAACAACCCAGGGAAACUUGGGCUAAUACCGGAUACGCCCUUACGGGGAAAGAUUUAUCGCUGAAGGAUCGGCCCGCGUCUGAUUAGCUAGUUGGUAGGGUAAUGGCCUACCAAGGCGACGAUCAGUAGCUGGUCUGAGAGGAUGAUCAGCCACAUUGGGACUGAGACACGGCCCAAACUCCUACGGGAGGCAGCAGUGGGGAAUAUUGGACAAUGGGCGCAAGCCUGAUCCAGCCAUGCCGCGUGAGUGAUGAAGGCCUUAGGGUUGUAAAGCUCUUUCGUCCGGGACGAUAAUGACGGUACCGGAAGAAGAAGCCCCGGCUAACUUCGUGCCAGCAGCCGCGGUAAUACGAAGGGGGCUAGCGUUGUUCGGAAUC
This 500-nucleotide ribosomal RNA is filed under the name uncultured bacterium. Its description in RNAcentral is "bacterial SSU rRNA". It matches the Rfam family "Bacterial small subunit ribosomal RNA", at positions 8 to 552 of the family's 1533-position model. The record is from RNAcentral.